AAGAAAAAAGAAAAGUUAAUUCAUGAAAAGGUUUAUGGUCAACAUUACCUUAUUCUGUGGCCCAUGAAAUAAUGUUAAGAAUACCCAACCUGUCACUGUCUCUAUGUCGUGAGGCCUCACAACUGUCAGAUUUUAUCCCCACUUUAUUCAUGAGAAAACCAAGGUUCAGAGAGUUUAAGUCUCUUAAAAGUGACAAGUAUAAUGGGUUCAAGUACUUAUUAAAUGUCAUCCUUCAUAUACUUUCCCUUUUGGCUCAGAGGCAUAGAAUUUCAUUGUUCUUAUUCAUUAAAAAUCUUCUUGUUAUUUUGUUGUGUAAUCUUAUAAAACUCUUUACACAUUCAUCCCUCCCCUUAAUGGUUAAUAUUAUAUUUAAAGCAUUUUUUCCCAUGAUAGCUAUGGUUCAGGAAAACUGUACAAUAUUCACAUAACAAACCGAAGUGUUAUUUUAGUAGGGCAAGAAGGCUCUGUUAAAUAAAGGCAGCAAAAAGUGAACAGAUGAUUAAAUCAGUGUGCUGACAUUGUGAUUUUUGUUCUUGUUUCAUAGAGGCAUGGUUCAUAGGGCAUUCUUGCAGGAAAACAUCUCUGCUAGCUCAAAAUGUAAGAGUUGAGUCUCAUCAAAUAAAAAUAUGAGAACUGUUGAAACUGUAUUAAUAUAUACUUCUCAUUUGAGGUAAAUCCUCUUAAUCCCAGAUUCCUCACUAUGGUCUAGAAAAUCAUAGUUCUGAAGCCUUAGGCUUUUGCUACCUCUAAGCUAUGGUAGAAAUCUAACCUAAAAGAUCCUGUUGAGAAAAAUAUUGAGUUUUAUGGACUCCCUAAUGCUUGACACAGUAAAUAAAUAAAUAAAUAAAUAAAUAAAUAAAUAAAUAAAUGCUCUAGAAAAAUGUAUAGAGAGCAAUUUGCAGAAAAGUUGUCAACACUGAUGAGGGUGGUUAGGCUUGCCUCUUCAAAGAGAUGACUUUUAAACAAAGUUCUAAAUGAAGAGAAAGAGAUACCCCAAAUAACACCUAACAGGGAGGUUUUCUAGGCCUACGAUCAUUAAGUCACAGCAGAAACUCAAAAAAGGGAGUGAGCAUUGGGUGUUUGAGGAAUAAAAAGAAUGUGUUUGUAGAUGAAGCCAAGCAAAUAAGAAGAAGAAUUCAAAGAGAUAAAGUCCUAAUGGAUGAAGCCAAAUCCUGUAGGACCUUGCAAGACGUUAUAAGGAAUUUUGUUUUUAAUCUAAUUACUAUGCAAGCCAUUGGAAGAAAAUGAUAUAAUUUGAUGUCAAUUUGGAGACAUUAUUCUGACUGCAAAUGAACUAUUUUAGCUAAGAGUAGAAACAAAGAGACCAGCUAGAAGGUUCACAUGCAGUCCAGGGAAAGAUUGGAGGAAGUUAUCAGUGAGAGACUGCUAGAUUUGGCAUAUAUUUUGCAGCUAAUGAACAAGAAGUUGAGUAUAAGAACUUGAGAGGAAUCAAGUAUCAACCCCAAGGUUGAGCCAGAGCUACUCAGUUGAUGGUGAUGCCAUUUGUUUACCUGGAAAAGAGUGACAGGAGAAGACAUUUACUGUGUAAAGCAUGGGUUGUACCUUAUCAAUCCACUUUAAUAUCACUACCCUGAAUUCAAUUGCUUCCUUGUAAAUAUUUAUUGAUAUUCCUUACUAACACAUCACUGGUGUAUACAAAAUACAAAUAUAUAUUAGAUGUGUCCAUCAUAUAGAGUAUAAAGCAGUAACAGAGUAAACAGCAAAUUCAUAUUUUGAUAAUAUUGAUAACAUUUGCGAGACAUAUCCAGAUUCAAAAUGACCUGAAAAUAAAAUAUAAUCUCAUUUAAAGACUCGAAAUAAACUUUAAUGACUGUAUCAAUUAGAAAAUAGUUUACUGAUGACAGAAAAAUAGGGGAGGAUUAAUUCUUAGUUUUUAAAAACGGAGAAAGUUUGCCUAAAGCACAAAAUAACAAUGUUAAUGAUAUUGGAUAGAAUCUCUUAAUUUAUAAAAAGUAAAAAAAGAAAGGGUAAAAUGAUCAGAUGUAUGUAUAAAGACUUGAGGUAGAAGAAUAGACAUGUUAGAAAAAAGUAUAACAAACACAAGAGUAGAAAUAAUUCAGGAGCUUUAAAGCUGUGAAAUUUUAAAAAAUACAUCCCAGAUUCUCUGUCACGAUAUAUUAUAAAAGUGAGUGUCCUUUAUUUACAAAUUUACAAAUUUAGUAAAUUUGUAAUGCCAUCACAAAUCUUACGAUUAUGGAAGUUUCUGCUCUUGUAAAACAAAAACAAUCAGUGAGAGUCAAAAUGGGAAGUUAACUGAGUAGUUCUAAAAAGGGAAGAGUUCUGGAAGUAAUAAAUAAAUCUUAAAGCACUGAAGAAAGGAGUAUCGAUGCAUUAAAUAAGAUGUGUAUGGAAAACUGGAAAUAGCCAAGAGUGGCACACAAUUGUAAACAUCCACCCUGCAAAGAAAGGAUAGCUGAAUGAUUGAUCAAAUUACCAGGUCUAUUUCUCAUGUAUGCUUUGAUCAUCCACAGAAAAAAAGAAAGAAAAGAAAACAAAAAGAGAGAGAAGAGGAUAGAAUUAGAAUUGGCACCAACAUGUGGUAGAAUGAGUUCAACUGACUUGAAUUGAGCCGCUUUGAAUUGAACUGCAUUGAAUACAAUUGAAUUGAGGGAUUUGUACUAAUUGUGAAUAGCUGGCUGUGUGGGGGAGUGGCUGGGUGACUAGCCAGGAGCUUUAUACUAAAGCCAACUAUGCGAGAUCGCUGCAGAGUAAGUGGAAAAAUAAAAUGAGGUUUCUCUCGUAACGAGAAUUGUAUAUUAUGACAAUAAAGUAUAAUCGUCAGACUAGAAGAAGAAAAAGCUAUUUAGAGAGAAGGGAAAAAAAGUUGAUACAAACAGAUUCCAUAAAUCAAAGAAAACGAGGACAGAAAAGACAUAUAGGGAUGAGAACUGUUGAAACAGAAAUCGAUUGAAAGAUUUAACAUAUUAUUUAUUAUUAGAUUUCACUAUUUUCUAAUUCAUGGAUAUUACCAUCUCUAAGUCAAAAGGGCUAUUUUUUCUUACAGCAGUUGAAUGCGACACACAAAUCCUCAUUCUCAAAUGAGAUGAAUCACUAAGAAAGGAAUUGUCCAUUGAUAGCUCUUGAGCAAUGGCCGAGCACCUCUGAGUGAUCACAUUGAAGCUGACAAUGUCCCAUGUGCUUUCUUUAUAGCUUCACAUUCACUAUUGUUAUCAAACCAAACUGGGGUCUGCAAGCCCAGCCCAGGAAGAGCAGAUAUUCAUACCAAGGUUUGCAGUGGGAAAAGGAAGGUGUUUAACUGCAAGGCAUCAAGCUGGGGAAAUUGGCCAGCUCAUGCUUAAGAUUUGAGCUCCCAGAUGGCUUACAGUUGGCUGACUACGGAUGUUGGAUGCCAGCUCUCCUCAGAAAGAUCAAAGUUACAGGUGAAUGGCCAUGAUUUAAACGGAAAUCUGAGGGAAUGGAGCAAGGACCUGUUGGAACAUCCAUGGGAACAACCUGGGGCACAAAAGAGGAAAGCAACAAGAGACUGGCAAAGAUCGUCUCCCUAGAAACCUGGACCAUGAAAAGGGACUGCUUUCUCUCUAAUCACUUGUCUUAUUAGUUGGUCAUUGACUGUGAAAAAAGAAAGCCUUCCAGUUUUAUGAGAUAGAACUUAAAUGGUCCUUUGGAGAUUGUGAACUUCACAUCCUCAGAGAAAAUGUCAUGAAAAUUGAAGUCCUCAUGGCUUCUGCAUUCUCGCACACAUGGGAAGAGUUGGUGGUGAAGAAGAAACCGG
Long non-coding RNA from Piliocolobus tephrosceles (Ugandan red Colobus), 3754 nucleotides. RefSeq lists it as uncharacterized. The record is from RefSeq and is a predicted model, not a curated record. NCBI's taxonomy places the organism in Eukaryota, Metazoa, Chordata, Mammalia, Primates, Cercopithecidae. The transcript has 4 exons.